Triticum aestivum (bread wheat) is the source of this 216-nucleotide non-coding RNA. The record is from Rfam. Lineage: Eukaryota; Viridiplantae; Streptophyta; Magnoliopsida; Poales; Poaceae.
ACGGCCUUACUUGAACAUGAUAUUUUCUAUAGGCUCGUACCGCUGCAUCCUUUACCCAGGCAAGCACUUCAGUAUGGUUCAUGCAUUUUUGACCUCUAGGCUAGAGCGGGAUUAACGGCUUGGAUGUAUCCUGAUGGGAGCGUUCGAUGGCUGUAGAGGAUCGUUCCUGCCUUGUUCAUGCAUGUGCAGGGUGGCCUAGAGGUUGUCUGACAGACU